RNAcentral lists this ribosomal RNA (497 nucleotides) under uncultured archaeon. RNAcentral describes it as "bacterial SSU rRNA". It matches the Rfam family "Archaeal small subunit ribosomal RNA", at positions 599 to 1096 of the family's 1478-position model. The record is from RNAcentral.
CUGGGAGAGGGUAGAGGUACUCCCGGGGGAGGGGUAAAAUCCUAUAAUCCUGGGGGGACCAUCUGUGGCGAAGGCUUCUACCUAGAACAGGUUCGACGGUGAGGGACGAAACCUAGGGGAGCGAUCGGGAUUAGAUACCCCGGUAGUCCUAAGCGUAAACUAUGCCCGCUUGGUGUUACAAACCUUUCGAGGGUUUGUAGUGCCGGAGCGUAGGUGUUAAGCGGGCCACCUGGGGAGUACGGCCGCAAGGCUAAAACUUAAGGGAAUUGGCGGGAGAGCACACAAGGGGUGUGAGCUGCGGUUUAAUUGGAUUCAACGCCGGGAAUCUCACGAGGGUUGACAGCAGAAUGAAGGUCAGCCUAACGGGUUUACCAGACAAGCUGAGAGGUGUUGCAUGGCCAUCGUCAGCUCGUACCUUGAGGCGUGCGGUUAAGUCCGUUAACGAGCGAGACCCACGCUAUCAUUUGCGAUCGUGUUCUAGGUCCAAAAGACCAAAA